CUUAAACUUGUGAAGUACUUCAU
Molecule: small nuclear RNA, 23 nt
Filed under: Arabidopsis thaliana (thale cress)
Lineage: Eukaryota; Viridiplantae; Streptophyta; Magnoliopsida; Brassicales; Brassicaceae
Description: snRNA_15325
Source: RNAcentral